Cygnus atratus (black swan) is the source of this 1519-nucleotide long non-coding RNA. RefSeq lists it as uncharacterized. The record is from RefSeq and is a predicted model, not a curated record. Lineage: Eukaryota; Metazoa; Chordata; Aves; Anseriformes; Anatidae. The transcript has 5 exons.
ACAGAAGAGAGCAGAGUGAAAGUUUUCUAUUGCAAACAUCUGUGUCUGAAAAAAGGAUUGUAUUUCCAUGUCCUGGAACAUCAAGGGGAAAAGCUUGCCCUCCCCAGACACACACCUUUAGUUUGCAGCAAUAAGGAGUUUAUAGACAAGUCAUAAUCUUCUUGUGCCUUGAGGAUACGUUUACUGCUAAGAAACAGCACUUCUUCAUUCCUGAAGUGAUAACAUCUCUUCAAGUACCAGACCAUGGACUAGAGUUUUACUUUGAGCAACGUUAUUGGCAAGUAUGGUCUUGCCUUUCCUCGUCAUUUCCCCAGCUGCCAAAUGUCACUCAGGUGUGUGACCUUCAAAUUAUUUCUGUUCAGACACAUUGCUUGUAUGGAUUCUCUUUCCUACCAGACAAUCCAUCUGUGUGGGUGGACCUUCUCUCCCACUGGAGCAGUGGGGUACGUGGUCCGGCUGUGCUGUCCCAGGGCACAGGAGAUGAACAGCACUGCUGCCUCUGUUGUGUUUUCAGUGUUCCUCUGACAGAGCAUGGGAGAAGAAGGAACCUUUCUGACAAGACUACAGAAGCACCUGGAAAACAUCAACAUCUGGACAAAGAACAGCCAGGCAGAGCCUGGCAGGAUGGAGGAAGUCUGCGGGGGAAUUUCUAUCUUGAAAAACUCAUCUUCAGAACAGAAUGUACCCAUUCAUCUAUGGUAUCUGGCUUCAUAUCAUCAAGUAAGUCAGCAUGGCCAGUUCUUCUGGAUUCCUUGCUCUUCUGGAAUAGCCCCCAAAACAUGGAUACUAAUAAAUCAAUUUCUUAGCUGUAGGAAUCUGGAAAUCUAGGCCUUGUUCAAUCAGAUUUUGAUUUCACUGUGGCAGUCAUCAUCUAUAUGGUUCUGGUUUAUUGUAUUAUUUAUACCCAGAAACAACUCUGGGGAUUGUUCUGACUCAGUUCUGGUGAACUAUAAUGCAGCCAUUUGCUCGCUUAACAGCACAGGACACCAAAAGCCUUAUUUCUGUCCAUCGUCUCGACAUCGGCUCUCUCGCAUAUAAUCUAGAUGAAGGUUCUGUUAUCAUUAUUCAGGGCCCUAUCUGGGUCUGACUAGGAUCAUCUAGACCAAGAUUAUUCCUUGGAGAAGGCUAUACUUAAAAGAAUAUUUUUUUUACUUUUCAGAAGCAUAUCUGCACAGAAACUCUAUUUUAGCUUGUGUAUGUCUUCAAUGGGAGCUAAAAAAUUGCAGAACGUUUAUUAUUUUUCCCUUUCAUUUUGUUCUGGGGUGUUGUGAGGGGUAGUGAAACUGGAAUCUGUAGUGCACAGUCUGGAAAAGUGCAUUGCUGAGACCAGCUACUUAUGUAAAGGUUUUCUGCGUACUGUGGAGUAGAAAGGCUGAAUGACUGGCAUGUGAUAAACCGAGCGGAGAUGUCUUACUGUGAAACCCAACACUUAUUAUACACCUCUAAUCUCAAUAAACUAGAAAAGCAAAACCUUAGCCAAGCCCAAUCUUUCUGCUCACCUUUCAUUCAAGAAAGCAUU